GAUGAACGCUAGCGGCAGGCCUAAUACAUGCAAGUCGAACGGGAUCCAGAUCAAAGCUUGCUUUGGUUUGGUGAGAGUGGCGCACGGGUGCGUAACGCGUGAGCAACCUACCCUUGUCAGGGGGAUAGCCCGGCGAAAGUCGGAUUAAUACCGCAUGACAUCAUUGAGAGGCAUCUUUCGAUGAUCAAAGAUUUAUCGGACAAGGAUGGGCUCGCGUGACAUUAGCUAGUUGGUAAGGUAACGGCUUACCAAGGCUACGAUGUCUAGGGGCUCUGAGAGGAGAAUCCCCCACACUGGUACUGAGACACGGACCAGACUGCUACGGGAGGCAGCAGUAAGGAAUAUUGGUCAAUGGACGGAAGUCUGAACCAGCCAUGCCGCGUGCAGGAAGACGGCCCUAUGGGUUGUAAACUGCUUUUAUACGGGAACAAACGUCGGUACGUGUACCGGUCUGAGUGUACCGUAAGAAUAAGGAUCGGCUAACUCCGUG
This 490-nucleotide ribosomal RNA is filed under the name uncultured bacterium. Its description in RNAcentral is "partial 16S ribosomal RNA". It matches the Rfam family "Bacterial small subunit ribosomal RNA", at positions 28 to 507 of the family's 1533-position model. The record is from RNAcentral.